GUACAGACCUCCAGACUACAGUUUGGCACCGUUCAUGCAAAACCUGCCACAGCAAAGUCUCCAUUCAGGUGUCCUGAGGACAUAUUACAGUUACCACAACCCUGUGUUUUGUGUCCUGUCCUCCAGCCAAUCAUGAAGUCGUCUGGUGAGUUUUGAAACAAUUACAGAUCAUGUUUGUUACAGAGUUUACUGAUUGUAGAGCAUUAAAAAGAUUUUUCAUUGAAAAAUCAUAUUUCUUCAUAUUGUCUUCCCUACUCUGUCUGUAAGAAGAGCCUUUCUUAUUGCAAUGUUAUUAAUCAUUUCACCAAAUCAUGGCUGUACUUCAUGCAGAGCCGGGAGAUCUGCUUUCUGUUAUCAUGCACCUCAGAUCUGAAAUAUGCUGCAAAAAGUAUUAAACGAACAUAAUUUAUUUUUUAAUCUAAUGUUUUAAAUGAGUAAAUCUACUAAUGCAUUUUUUCAUGGAUGUUAAUUGUCAUCUCCUUUUUUGAUACUUUUUUACUCUGACGUAUGUAUCUCAACAAACGAGAGCUUCCCCUCAAAGGGCUUUCAAAUAUGAAAUAGUAAAUAAAUAAAUCCCAGAUAAAUGCAGGUAUUUAUUAUGGGUCACAUGAAUAAUAACAGACAAUUAUAUUUUCUUGAUUAUAGUAAAUUUUGUAGAAUCAAAUGUUUUUGGGAUGAAUGAGGUUUUGCUCAUCAUGUUUUACAGGUAAAAAAUGUUAAAAGUUUUAAACUAUCUUUAGGCUACCAGAGAUGUUUAUAAUGAUUCAUUAUGUAGAGAAAAACAUUUUUACAGCUUACAGAAUAUGUAUAAAAACUGAUUUAGAAGUACAUGGAAAGUUU
Oreochromis aureus is the source of this 840-nucleotide long non-coding RNA. The record is from Ensembl. NCBI's taxonomy places the organism in Eukaryota, Metazoa, Chordata, Actinopteri, Cichliformes, Cichlidae.